Molecule: transfer RNA, 82 nt
Filed under: Caudoviricetes sp.
Lineage: Duplodnaviria; Heunggongvirae; Uroviricota; Caudoviricetes
Description: tRNA-OTHER
Source: RNAcentral
GCCUUCGCUAGGCGACGGCCCACCCAUCAAGCAUUCAGGUUGCUCGAUGGUGGUGUCGCGGGUUCGAACCCCGCCGGAGGCA